UACGACUUAGCGGCGGACGGGUGAGUAACGCGUGGGUAACCUGCCUUACACUGGGGGAUAACAGUUAGAAAUGACUGCUAAUACCGCAUAAGCACACAGGGCCGCAUGGUCUGGUGUGAAAAACUCCGGUGGUGUAAGAUGGACCCGCGUCUGAUUAGGUAGUUGGUGGGGUAACGGCCCACCAAGCCGACGAUCAGUAGCCGACCUGAGAGGGUGACCGGCCACAUUGGGACUGAGACACGGCCCAAACUCCUACGGGAGGCAGCAUG
RNAcentral lists this ribosomal RNA (269 nucleotides) under uncultured bacterium. RNAcentral's name for it is "partial 16S ribosomal RNA". It matches the Rfam family "Bacterial small subunit ribosomal RNA", at positions 86 to 353 of the family's 1533-position model. The record is from RNAcentral.